AGUGAACGCUGGCGGUAGGCCUAACACAUGCAAGUCGAACGGCAGCACAGUAAGAGCUUGCUCUUACGGGUGGCGAGUGGCGGACGGGUGAGGAAUACAUCGGAAUCUACUUUUUCGUGGGGGAUAACGUAGGGAAACUUACGCUAAUACCGCAUACGCCCUACGGGUGAAAGCAGGGGAUCUUCGGACCUUGCGCGAUUGAAUGAGCCGAUGUCGGAUUAGCUAGUUGGCGGGGUAAAGGCCCACCAAGGCGACGAUCCGUAGCUGGUCUGAGAGGAUGAUCAGCCACACUGGAACUGAGACACGGUCCAGACUCCUACGGGAGGCAGCAGUGGGGAAUAUUAGACAAUGGGCGCAAGCCUGAUCCAGCCAUACCGCGUGGGUGAAGAAGGCCUUCGGGUUGUAAAGCCCUUUUGUUGGGAAAGAAAAGCAGCAGGUUAAUACCCCGCUGUUCUGACGGUACCCAAAGAAUAAGCACCGGCUAACUUCGUG
This 492-nucleotide ribosomal RNA is filed under the name uncultured bacterium. RNAcentral describes it as "partial 16S ribosomal RNA". It matches the Rfam family "Bacterial small subunit ribosomal RNA", at positions 29 to 507 of the family's 1533-position model. The record is from RNAcentral.